This 243-nucleotide ribosomal RNA is filed under the name uncultured bacterium. RNAcentral describes it as "partial 16S ribosomal RNA". It matches the Rfam family "Bacterial small subunit ribosomal RNA", at positions 17 to 252 of the family's 1533-position model. The record is from RNAcentral.
AUCUGGCUCAGGAUGAACGCUAGCUACAGGCUUAACACAUGCAAGUCGAGGGGCAGCAUGAACUUAGCUUGCUAAGUUUGAUGGCGACCGGCGCACGGGUGAGUAACACGUAUCCAACCUGCCGAUGACUCGGGGAUAGCCUUUCGAAAGAAAGAUUAAUACCCGAUGGCAUAGUUCUUCCGCAUGGUAGAACUAUUAAAGAAUUUCGGUCAUCGAUGGGGAUGCGUUCCAUUAGGUUGUUGG